CUGUGUUUACAUCUUUGUGUCACUUAAAAUCAGUUUAUUUGCUCUGUGUCUUCCAAUUUAUGCCAAAUGUUGUUCAGUUAUGUUGAUUCUUCAUACUGCCAAUUCUCAAUUAUUUUAUAUGUUGGAUUUGCAGGUUGUCAUUGAUAGCAUGGUUAUUGAAAUAGAUAAAGCACUGGAUUUUAAUUCAAUUCUACUGAUAUAUGGUCAGAAUUACUGGCACUCUUUCUGAUUAAACUCUAAAUUUAUUUCAAUAACAGGUGGAACGGGAUGAACCUCAGUAUGGUUAUAGCGAACCAGAGUUAAAAGUGUAAUUCCAUCAUAACAACAAACUAAUGUAGUCAUCUUCUUUUACUGGUAACGACUUCAUUGACACAUUCUUUUAUUGGUAACGACUUCAUUGACACAACUUCAGUUGUUAAAACUGUUCCCCAUUCAUAAGUUUUACACAUGCACAUCUUAUCUUUACGUUCAAGAAUAUGCAUUUUUGUUAUUUAACAUUUUGUAUGGACUUAAGCAUCUUCAGGUUUUUCUACA
This 534-nucleotide long non-coding RNA is filed under the name Erythranthe guttata (spotted monkey flower). RNAcentral's name for it is "long non-coding RNA (EGUT_LNC003657)". Lineage: Eukaryota; Viridiplantae; Streptophyta; Magnoliopsida; Lamiales; Phrymaceae. The record is from RNAcentral.